UUGUCCCCGGGACAGCGAUGAGGACGGUGAAUGCUAGCUGUUUGCAAACGCUGUUUAUAAAGUAGGGAUUCCAAAGUCGGUUGCCCCCAGUGCCUGGCAAACAAGGGACAGAAGAGAGGCCUGCUGGGAAAGUCAACAGGGACAGCCACUCCCCGACUCCAGUAAGUGAAGCUAACGCAGGGAUCCAGGCCCAGUGUUGCUGCCUUCCUGUUUUUCAAGAGGAAGCCUGAUAUGCAGAUUUAUAGGGAUAUUUCCCAAUUAAGCAACAAAGCAGGCCAAUUUGAGCGGCAGAUGGAGACCAAGGCCUCAGGAUUUUGAAGUCUGCUGUUUUACCAGGGCUUCUGCAGAAUGUCUGCAUCACAACCAUGGGAGGGACACGCACCCCUUGCCCAGAGCGAUUUCGCUUUGAAUGUGAGGAAAUGAGAGGACUUUUCAGGCUUUGAUCCCUGGACCAAAUUGCUUUCUGUCUCACUAUGAGGUCACAGAGAGGACAUGGGAACCAACCGAGCAGAGGAUGGGAACCUGCACUGGCCGAACUGAGCCCUGGUCUGGCUCUUGCCUCGCUGUCAUGACAAUAAGGGAAACAGAGACCAGGAUGUUAUCACUUUGAUUCUGCUUGUGUGUCUUACUCUGUGUAUGGGGUGGGGGGGGACGUGACAAAAGUCCAGCUAAUUCUGAUUUGAAAUUUUCAGUUGUGAAGGGGGAUAUUGAUAUCUAUGCUGCAGGGCUUGGGCGGGCUCUGGUCUUUUCCUGUAGUUUUACUGGUGCGUUAUACUCGUACAUAGUGGCGGGAUGCGUGGUUACAGGAGAUAACCCUGUGCUUUGGCCGGUGUCCCUCCCCAGCACUCCCCCUCCCGCCCCUGGUUCCUUCCUCUACUGUUCUUUUGACUUUCAUGAGACCCACCCCCAUCUUUCUUUUCCUUUUUCUUCUCUGGGGAGAGCAAACACAGGACAAUGAACCUUCUGAGUUUGGUUUAUCUCACUUAACACAAUGGUCUCUAGUUCCAUCCAUUUUCUUGCAAAUGACAGAAUUUCAUCCUUCUUUAUGGCUGAAUAAAAACUCCACUGUGUCUACAUACUGAGGUACCAGAUGUGCAAGAGUUUCCUCCCCACUGUCAGAGACACAGGCAGAAGAAGCAGGCACAGGCGGCGGCUGCAGUUCCACUCCCAGUUUUACACCCAGAGAGCAAAGCAGGCCACGCAGAGCUCUGUACCAUGGUGCAUGACAGCCCAGCCAAAACAGACCGAAUGUCCGUCAGUUGACGAAUGCACAGGGCCUGGUGAACCUGCUCCGGAUUUCUACAGUGGGAAACACCCAGCCAUCUGUCCUGCUGUGUGCUGGUCGCCUUUGAUUCCCCCACUCUCCCCAUAGACAGGCCAUGGGUGCCUUCGCUGACUCAGGAGGUUUCCUCCAAAGCACCUCUUUAACCUUUGCUUGUAACCUCUCAACCACCACUGAUCCAAGCUACCCCCCUCUCCUGCCAGGAAUGUAGCAGUAGCCUUCUAAUGUUGUCCCGCUGGGCUUCCUUGAAGUCAGUUCUCCACCGAAGAACCAGAGAAAUCUUUACUGAAAAGACGAGUCGGGUCAAUCCCCUGCCUGGAAGCUAUCUUUGGUCUGAGUCUGAAUAUACCAUUAGAAUAUUAAGAAGGUUUGAAACAUCAUUAAUCGUCAGUGAAGGUAAAAUUAAAGCUACUGUAAGAUACUACUACACACCCACAGAAUGGCUAAUGUUUAAAAAAUUAAAGACCAACAGUGUCAAAGGUCAAUGAGGAUGCAGAGGAACUACAACUUCCACACCCUGCUAGUGGAAGGGAAUAUAUAACGACUCUGGAAACGUGUUGGGCAAUAUCUAAUGAAGCUGAGUAUAUGCUUACUGUAGGACCCGGCUGUUCCACUUCUAGGUGCAUAUCCAGGACAGAUGAGGCCCUGCGGCCUCCAAAAGACGUCCAGGAAUUUUAAAAUGGGGAGUGGGGGUGUAGCUCAGUGCUGGAGUGUGUGUGUAGCUGCGUGAGGCCCUGGGUUCAGUUCCCAGCACCACCUGAAUAAGAAAGAGCGGGAGGAAAGGAGGGAGGAAGAUAUUUGCACUAGCUUUGUCUAUAAUAGACAAAUAUCGACAGCAAGUCAAAUGUCUUUCAUAGUAUUCAUACAACCACACUUGACCAGCAAUGAAAAAGGUUGGAUGACCAGGACGGGCAACUGCAUGACCCACCUCACGGCUGCGGCAAGUAAAGACAGGUCCCAGUCUGAACCGUGAUUCUACCUAAAACUGCUCAAGAAGAGGAAGCAGCAGGCAUUGGACUUCCCCUCUGCUAGGGACCAGGGACCAGCGGUUAGACCAAGAAUGAGCAAGAGGGGACUUGGAGGUUUGGAAAUGCCACUCAUCGUAAACUGGGCUGGGUGGGUGGUUGUUUCAUGAGUCGUGUGAUUGUGUGUGUGUGUGUGUGUGUGUGUGUGUGUGUGUGUGUGUGUUAAGCUGUGUGCUUUCUGUGGAGUUACAAUGUUGUGUCUUACUUAAGUCACAAGAGGCGCCGGCAUCUCCACGCACUGACAGCAGCGUCUCCCCGUCCCACGUGGUCUGCCUCCCGCCUUCCUGCCUGCAUCUCACACUCAUUCCUAUUCUUUACUUUUUUUUUUCCCAGUACCAAGGGCACUUAACCCCUGAGCCACAUCCCCAACCCUUUUUUAUAUUUUAUUUAGAGACAGGGUCUCACUGAGUUGCU
Molecule: long non-coding RNA, 2721 nt
Organism: Sciurus carolinensis (gray squirrel)
Lineage: Eukaryota; Metazoa; Chordata; Mammalia; Rodentia; Sciuridae
Exons: 3
Source: RefSeq, a predicted model, not a curated record